AGAGACAAGGUUCAAUCGACCAAUAUGGAAUGAUGACUAUGAUAAAACCGUCACAGAACAAUCAUCUAUUUUUCCACGAAUAUAUCGUACAUUAGGGAAGCCUGAGGAUUGUCUACUAGAUAAAGUUGCAUUUACACAAACACAUUAAUAUGUUCUGUUUAACAGCAGCGUACUCAUCCCAUUUCUUGAAGAACGCAUGGACGUUGUUAAGCAGAAGAAUCUUCGCGCACGACCAAGGGAUAUAGAACGCAUUCACAAUGAAACAUUUCAUUAAUGGUUUAACAAUCACACAUAUACAUGUGUUAGAAUGAGGCGCACUAAAUGCACGGCUAGGUGAUUGGUAAGUCCUAUGACUGAUGCGGGACCUAGCCAGCCUUAGGUGAUCUAGAAUACAACGGGUCCCUCCCAGCCUCAAGAUCUGCACCGGUCAACUUCUAGUGAUUUAAAGUGUGCGAAAAAAAAGAGAGGCCACACAUGAUGCCUCGAAGUUUGGAAGAUGCGUGAAGGACAAAGAAUUCUUAUUCCUAUCAGCACUUCAGGACAACCCAUUGGGACUAUGUUAGCAAGCUAACAAACUUCUUGGG
Long non-coding RNA from Magnolia sinica, 584 nucleotides. RefSeq lists it as uncharacterized. The transcript is spliced from 4 exons. NCBI's taxonomy places the organism in Eukaryota, Viridiplantae, Streptophyta, Magnoliopsida, Magnoliales, Magnoliaceae. The record is from RefSeq and is a predicted model, not a curated record.